Suricata suricatta (meerkat) is the source of this 1402-nucleotide long non-coding RNA. RefSeq lists it as uncharacterized. The transcript is spliced from 4 exons. Lineage: Eukaryota; Metazoa; Chordata; Mammalia; Carnivora; Herpestidae. The record is from RefSeq and is a predicted model, not a curated record.
ACUAAUCAGAUCCACAAAGACCCCGUUUCUACAUAAGGACAUGUUCUGAUGGUUAAGAUGUCAAACAUAGCGAUACCUCAGUCUACCGGACACCAUGUAACCCAGAGCAGUCACUUAGAUGGACAGACCUCACUUGCCGCAUACACAGACCCACUUUCUGUGGUUACUAAUGAAUGUGCUGUUCUGUCAGAGGCUGAAAAUUAAGGAGAGUUCCUCUCUGGAAAGGUGGCCUACCCACAAGCUAGACCACAGCUGUUUGUUGCUAGACCAUUGCCACCUUUCACGGCAUAUGGUCCUGUGACAGUAGGCUGCCUUCUGUGUUCUCACGCACACCCAUAUAUAGACACUAGGGCUUUGGCAGGAAGAGAAUGACGUCGAGGUUGAGUGUGUUUGAAAGAGCGUGGCCACAUGUAACUGAUAACAACACAGGACUCCCGGUUAAAUUUCAAUUUCAGAUAAACAGUGAGCAAUUUUUCAAUAUAGGCAUGUUCCAAAUGAUAUCUGGAGCAUAUUUCUACAUUAAAAGUGAUGACGUUCAUGCGUAAUCGGGUCUCUCAGAUUUUGACCCCGUGGUGGAAAAGCCCUUGAUAUGAGCUCUGGGAUCAUCUGCAACCCCAUCCUCUACUUUAAGUGGCUCUGACGACUCUCUCCGAAGACUCACCAAGACCACGCCCAUGUGCCGCUCCAGAGAGGCCCCUCUCAGCUCAGGAAACCAACCACUGACUGACCCAUCCUGGGAAGGCGCCACCCCCCUCCCUGCUGGACUGGCAGCAACCAUCCUGUUUACCCCGAUCACCCCUGGCUACCGGUCUGACGACUCUCCCUUUCCUGUCCUCGUCACGGGAAGUUAGGCAUCGGUUCUGACUUCUUACAGAAUGUCUCAAAGCACAGGGAAGAUUGUAGGCGCCCAAGACCACCAUGCAGACACAGAGUCACCGCACGGGGCUGCAUCUACAAGGUCUUUCCCUUUCCUGGUUCAUCUGGGAGAGAUCCAGAGUGCUGGCAAGAGCCUUCUACAAAAAGGUAGACGUAGAAGGAAAAAGACCAUGAGACCAAAAAGGCUGUGUUACCUGAACAACAGGGUUGUUGGAAAGGACCAGGGUCAGCGUGAUGCUUUGAAGAUUAAUGGGCCCAUAUAACCGUGGAUUGGUGUGAGCUUUCUCCGGGGACAUUACACAGAGCUCAGAGGACUUGCAUGCGAAAUGCAGCACGGAGCCCGCGGCUCUCGUUACGGGCGCCAGAGGCCUCUUUAUCACAUUCCAUUGAAGCCAUUGCAGGAGGGGCCAUGAGGAGCCAUUCCAAUGCUCUUGCUUUGAGACCAAAAAGUGGGGGCGCCCACGUGGCUCAGUCGGUUAAGCAUCUGACUUCAACUCAGGUCAUGAUCUCACUGUCUGUGAGUUUG